RNAcentral lists this long non-coding RNA (208 nucleotides) under Vigna radiata. RNAcentral describes it as "long non-coding RNA (VRAD_LNC013491)". The record is from RNAcentral. Lineage: Eukaryota; Viridiplantae; Streptophyta; Magnoliopsida; Fabales; Fabaceae.
CGUGUAGGUGGUUCCCUUAUCAAGAGGGAACUUUAUCGCCAAGUGAGGCAUGGAGAUGUCACACCGAAUGUAGUUAGACAUGGCCAUCCGAUUAACAUGUUAUACAAAGUGUUUGCCUUCAUUAGCAGGUACCUCACCCUUACUCCUUCGCAUCGCGUCCGAGCACCAACAUGGUCCUCAAAUUCACGUAGCCACUUGUAUCCACCGC